This 936-nucleotide ribosomal RNA is filed under the name uncultured archaeon. Its description in RNAcentral is "bacterial SSU rRNA". It matches the Rfam family "Archaeal small subunit ribosomal RNA", at positions 1 to 923 of the family's 1478-position model. The record is from RNAcentral.
UUUCCGGUUGAUCCCGCCGGACCCGACUGCUAUUUGGGUGAGGAUAAGCCAUGCGAGUCGAAUGGGAUACCUAAAUUUCCCAUGGCGAACUGCUCAGUAACACAUGAUCAACUUGCCCUAUAGAGAAAAAUAACCUCGGGAAACUGAGGAUAAUAUUUCAUAGUUGAAUAGGCUUGGAAAAGUUUUUCAAUAAAAGGGAUAAAAAAAAUGGUUUUUAUCUGCUAUAGGAUAGGAUCGUGGACGAUUAUGGUUGUUGGUGAGGUAAUGGCUCACCAAGCCGAUAAUCGAUAGGGGCCGUGAGAGCGGGAGCCCCGAGAUGGGUACUGAGACAACGACCCAGGCCUUACGAGGCGCAGCAGGCGCGGAACCUCCGCAAUACACGAAAGUGUGACGGGGUUACCCAAAGUGUUCAAUUCUGAACUGUGGUAGGUGAGUAAUGUCCCCUACUAGAAAGGAGAGGGCAAGGCUGGUGCCAGCCGCCGCGGUAAAACCAGCUCUUCAAGUGGUCGGGAUAAUUAUUGGGCUUAAAGUGUCCGUAGCCGGUUUAGUAAGUUCCUGGUAAAAUCGGGUAGCUUAACUAUCUGUAUGCUAGGAAUACUGCUAUACUAGAGGGCGGGAGAGGUCUGAGGUACUACAGGGGUAGGGGUGAAAUCUUAUAAUCCUUGUAGGACCACCAGUGGCGAAGGCGUCAGACUGGAACGUGCCUGACGGUGAGGGACGAAAGCCAGGGAGCGAACCGGAUUAGAUACCCGGGUAGUCCUGGCCGUAAACGAUGCAUACUAGGUGAUGGUACGGCCAUGAGCCGUAUCAGUGCCGUAGGGAAACCGUUAAGUGUGCCGCCUGGGAAGUACGGUCGCAAGGCUAAAACUUAAAGGAAUUGGCGGGGGAGCACCACAAGGGGUGAAGCCUGCGGUUCAAUUGGAUUCAACGCCGGAA